Long non-coding RNA from Hemicordylus capensis (graceful crag lizard), 1474 nucleotides. RefSeq lists it as uncharacterized. The record is from RefSeq and is a predicted model, not a curated record. NCBI's taxonomy places the organism in Eukaryota, Metazoa, Chordata, Lepidosauria, Squamata, Cordylidae. The transcript is spliced from 3 exons.
UAAACAAACUAUAAAACAUAACGGGAAGGAGUGAUUCCUUCCCAUCAAGGAAGGAUAUCCUGAAGGAUGUCAAGUGUCCCCCGGCCCCCUCAAGAACAAGAAAUUAAUAGCAAGAACAUUCCCGUUUUUCCUGGGUCAUCGGAUUAUUUAAGAAAUGCAGCUUGAUUGCCAGUGAGCUUCAUCUUGAAGGAUGUGCAACUGAGGUGCCUGGGGCUUCAGACUAGUUGGGGUGUGCAUGGACCCAAAUUGUGAUUUGGCUUGAAUUCCAAUCAAAUUUGAGCCAAACCGUGUGGCGCCAAACUGUUUCAGUUGAACCGACCAGCUGGUCCAGUCUAUCGAACUGGUUCAGCAGUUUGGGUGGCUAAUACUUGUAAAGGGGAACCCAGUGAGGAUUCCCCUUUACAAGAACAGGGGUAGGGGACCCUGGCAGUGCUAAGGGGUGGCUGGGUGGUGGAUGGUGAGAGAGGUAGUAAGAUGCUUAUGCAGUCAGUGCAGUCACCACUCACCCUCAUUGCCUUGUUUAGGAAGCUGCCCACAUAGCAGCGGAGUGGUUCCAGUCUCCCUGCAUGCGCGGAUGCCGUUUGCAUGGCCAUGCCAUUUGCGUGGCCAUGCAAUUUGCGUGGCUAUGCAAAUGGCAUCCACGCAUGUGCAGAGGCCAGAACCGCUUCGCUGCCACAUUGUCCGUGCUGCAUUAUCAUGAUCAUUAUCAUCAUGGGCUGGCAGCAUCUCCCUAAGGCUGUGGGCUGAGCUUGUCCUGCUACUUCACGUACUGGUCCCGGAAAGUGAACUUGGAAACUUAUGCGUGCAAAGCAUGUGCUCUUCCACGCAGUUAGGGAUCCUUGCUGUCAUGUUGAUUGAUAGGCCAAGUAUGAAAACAAAACAAAACAGAGCAGGGCUGUAUGAUCUUCCACUUUCAUAAAUCAAAUGGGAACAGCUGGACUGGGGCAGUGUAUUUUUCAUCGGAAUGGCAUUUUAAGCAACAGAAUCCAGGGGGAACGAAAUAAAGGGUAGCGCAAACCCAAAAGAAAUAUAAGGAAAUAGCCUGGAGUAAACUGAAGUUUUCCUAAAGAAAUGCAGAUACCACACUUUGUCCUAAGACCCCAAGGUGGUUAACAAGAUAAAAACAAUUCAAUAACACAAGAACAGAACAAAUGCUGCUGAAAUGUUAAAAGGAGCAAGGGAGAGCUCAUUGGCCUAAAGCUUGGAUAAAAGGGCAGUCUUCACUUUCCUCCUAUUGGCUGGGAGAGAGGGAGCCAUGAAGGUCUCAGCUGAGAGCAGGUUCCAUAGCCUGGGGCAACAAAUGAGAAGGCCCUGUCCCACGUGCUUGACAAAUGGGCCUCAGCAGGUGUCAGAACACGAAGCAGAGCCCUCCCAGCCAAUCUAGUCAGGAUGGUAGGUUCAGCUAGGAGCAGGUGGUCCCUACGGUACCCAGGGCCCAAAGGGAUCAUGGUGCUGUCCUCAGCAUCUUCAACCU